UUCGAUACCAAGAGCUGGUGUCUGAGGGAUUACGACUCGCGUGGUCGGACAGCACAUGUUAGUCAUGUAUUAUGGUGUUUCCCAACACGUAUCUUUGCUCUAGUAUUGAACUUUAGUGAUGAGUGUACUUGGCAUGUACACCUGAUUAGUUAGCCCUUGUGGAUACGCCACUGCCGCUCAGGUACAGUAGGACAUACCCCAAAUAUUGGGUUUUUUUUUUAGAGAAGAAAAUUAGUGGCGAAACGUACGGUUUAUGUCAAAGGAGAAGGUGAUUUUAAUUGCACCUGAAGCAACCCUAGGUCUUCCCUUUGAUGUGAGCUAAUAAGGAGUAACCGAUUCUUACAAUGUGAUCAUGUCUUUUCAACAAACAAAGGAUC
RNAcentral lists this unclassified non-coding RNA (377 nucleotides) under Cricket paralysis virus. RNAcentral's name for it is "CrPV 5'-UTR IRES from Cricket paralysis virus (PDB 6W2S, chain 0)". Lineage: Riboviria; Orthornavirae; Pisuviricota; Pisoniviricetes; Picornavirales; Dicistroviridae. The record is from RNAcentral.